Molecule: long non-coding RNA, 620 nt
Organism: Cyprinus carpio carpio
Lineage: Eukaryota; Metazoa; Chordata; Actinopteri; Cypriniformes; Cyprinidae
Source: Ensembl
UGAAAUGAUGACUUCCCAGGAGGACUUGACCACAGCAUGAGCCUCUUGAAAAGAGGGCCGGGGGAAGGAAAGAGCGACAGAGAUGACGAGGCUCUCACACAAGUUUGGCAGGAGUCGCCAUCUGAGACGAUGAAGGGUGACGGCCAGAUUACGGACUGUCAAGAACUCCACUGGGACUCACACGUUCCCAGUCUCUUCUCCCCUCAUCCCUCAAAGCCUUUCACCUAUUCAUCUUCCAGAAGGUGACAAAAUUGUCAACGGCAGCUACCGCUGUGGCCGGGAGCAGGCCGCCUCUCCCAUCGGCUACAGAGCUGCUGUCUUCUUAGGUUUGAUAAAUGUGUCUGAUUCCUCAAGCCAGCUAUCUCUGUCACGUAGAGUGUUUUACCGGGCACCCGAGAGACAAGCUGUGAUGUAACCAGUGAGGAUCUCAACAGUUGACUGUUCUGGCUUCUGUUGAAGUACACAUACCUGCACUCAGCUCUGAUGGCUGGCCAGUGUCAUAACCCAACCUUUAACACACUCUCAUAAACAUGCAUCAGAAACACAAAUCAUGAACACAUCACCUACAGUCUCUGAAAAACAGACACAUCACACGCACCAACACACAGACUGGUCACCAC